GUCGACAGCCAUACCGCCCUGAGCGUGCCUGGCCUCGUCUGAUCUCAGAAGCUAAGCAGGGUGGAAGCCUGGUGAGUACUUGGAUGGGAGAAGGCACGGAGUCCGGGUUUUUUAAACA
RNAcentral lists this ribosomal RNA (118 nucleotides) under Microcebus murinus (gray mouse lemur). Lineage: Eukaryota; Metazoa; Chordata; Mammalia; Primates; Cheirogaleidae. The record is from RNAcentral.